AGAGUUUGAUCCUGGCUCAGGACGAACGCUGGCGGCGUGCCUAAUACAUGCAAGUCGAGCGGAGAGGAGAGAGCUUGCUCUCGAAUCUUAGCGGCGGACGGGUGAGUAACACGUAGGCAACCUACCUGUAAGACUGGGAUAACCUCGGGAAACCGAAGCUAAUACCGGAUAAGCUGGAUCUUCGCAUGAGGAUCUACUAA
This 200-nucleotide ribosomal RNA is filed under the name uncultured bacterium. Its description in RNAcentral is "partial 16S ribosomal RNA". It matches the Rfam family "Bacterial small subunit ribosomal RNA", at positions 8 to 204 of the family's 1533-position model. The record is from RNAcentral.